Molecule: long non-coding RNA, 1284 nt
Filed under: Struthio camelus australis
Lineage: Eukaryota; Metazoa; Chordata; Aves; Struthioniformes; Struthionidae
Description: lncRNA (ENSSCUG00000010267.1)
Source: RNAcentral
GGAAAUACAAGGCAAAAAAUAAACACCUUGAUUUUCCUUUUGGUCUGCCCCAACUUACGGCAAAAAGAGCCUGCGUUUGCAUGCGAACUUUGGAAGAUCCUUGAAAGCACCUCCGCCCUGCAGAAAAGCUGUAUAGUUACAGAAAAGUAAGUGGCACGCUCAGGACCACCGCUACCAGUUCGGUGGUGGAUUCAAACCUGGCAAGCAGGGACCUCAUCAUUCCUUGCUGCGGCUGCUGGAAGAGCUCGCGCAGCACACCUAGCCCGUCUGCGAGAGCCACGAGAGCAGGCAUCGCACACCUUUGAAAGGGAACCCAAUCGUUCCUGCAGCUCAGUUCGGAUCCAAUAACUCCUUGCAGCACUUAAAACAGCCAACUGUAUAAUUUGUCAUCUCUUGCAGAGGACAGAAACCACAGCUUGCACGCACUGGCCGCUCAGUUGCGUGAUCACAAGGGACUUGCCGCUCUCAUAAACGUCUUGGCUGAGGAAAGGUGUUAUUUGCCAUCCUAGCAUUCAAACCGCAUCCUAGGACUAGCAGUGUUACAUGUUUAGUGAACUCACUGCUGAAAUCUUAAGCCGUGAGUGACAUGAAAAGCGCGGUAAAGCGUUAGAGCACGGCCAGCAACACGCACACAGGAACGAGAGAGGUCGGUACUCACCCUGGCGAGCACACGGGAAGUACCACAGCCCGGCCCAGCCCAGGCUUUAUAUACACCUAUCUCAAGGUCACCGCUGAUAGCUUUUUAAAGGCAUCAGCAGCUUCCCUUUGUGACUAUAUUUGUCAGCCGGCUCCCCGACGAGGAGACAAGGCCGGUGCGGGGAACACGUGCGGCUGGGCGCAGGGGGAGGGCAGGCAUGCCGGUGGGAGCGCCGGGCUCCUCGCGCGCUUCCCCUCGCCACCUCAUUCUUCUUCCAUGACUUCAUGGAAGAAACUUCUCCUGCUUCCGCGCUGUGUUUUCACAGGGGUGGCUCCAGUACACGAUGCUUCACCUUUAUGUUGCAUCUGGCUACAAGCAAAACAGAGCUAGUGAUCUUGGCAUAGGCUGUUUCUGUGAAUAAGGAAUGCUUCUGCAGAGCUCAAGGAGCAGCUCCUGACCAUGUAAUCCAGAACAAGGCAGAUUGCCACACUUGGAUUUACGGAUUCUGUUCAUCUGUGGCUGAAGACUGAGAAUAUGAUUAUUUCACACCACAAGGAUAUAGUGCACUCCCACUCUGUCCCUCCUGCUCCUUUCUCACUCUGCCAGUAGCUUUAUUUCUAGACACAGUAUUACCAUUACUACCUACU